Molecule: ribosomal RNA, 504 nt
Filed under: Ascarosepion apama (giant Australian cuttlefish)
Lineage: Eukaryota; Metazoa; Mollusca; Cephalopoda; Sepiida; Sepiidae
Description: partial 16S ribosomal RNA
Rfam family: Bacterial large subunit ribosomal RNA
Source: RNAcentral
GUCUCUUUGUUUUUAUAUAUAAAGAGUUGGACCUGCUCGGUGAAUAAUAUAUUUUAACAGCUGCGGUAUUUUAACUGUACUAAGGUAGCAUAAUAAUUUGCCUUAUAAAUUGAGGCUGGAAUGAAUGGUUUGACGAGGGUUUAUCUGUCUCUAUUUUAUUUAUUAGAAUUUAAUUUUUAUAGUGAAAAAGCUUAAAUAGUUUAAAGGGACGAGAAGACCCUAAUGAGCUUAAAUUUAAUAGUGCUAAAAUUAUAAGUUAAUAGGAUUAUGAAAAUUUUAAUUGGGGUGAUUAAGGGAUAAUUUAUUAAAUAAUAACUUCCUUAAAUAUAAUAUUGUUGAAUUAAUUAACCAAUUUAUAUUGCUUAUAGUAUAGUUACCAUAGGGAUAACAGCGUAAUUUAUUUAGAGAGUUCAUAUUGAAAAAUAAGAUUGCGACCUCGAUGUUGGAUUAAGGUUACCUUAAGGUGCAGAAGCUUUAAUAGGUAAAUCUGUUCGAUUUUAACUU